GUGUUUUAAGGAUGCAAAACCCCACGAUGUCAACGUGGGGGUCACUGGUUCGAGUCCAGUUGUGUCCA
Molecule: transfer RNA, 68 nt
Filed under: Acaryochloris sp. CRU_2_0
Lineage: Bacteria; Bacillati; Cyanobacteriota; Cyanophyceae; Acaryochloridales; Acaryochloridaceae
Also listed under: 1 other name
Description: tRNA-Asp
Rfam family: tRNA (bases 10-68)
About the family: Transfer RNA (tRNA) molecules are approximately 80 nucleotides in length. Their secondary structure includes four short double-helical elements and three loops (D, anti-codon, and T loops). Further hydrogen bonds mediate the characteristic L-shaped molecular structure. tRNAs have two regions of fundamental functional importance: the anti-codon, which is responsible for specific mRNA codon recognition, and the 3' end, to which the tRNAs corresponding amino acid is attached (by aminoacyl-tRNA synthetases). tRNAs cope with the degeneracy of the genetic code in two manners: having more than one tRNA (with a specific anti-codon) for a particular amino acid; and 'wobble' base-pairing, i.e. permitting non-standard base-pairing at the 3rd anti-codon position.
Source: RNAcentral